UACGUAGGUGGCGAGCGCUGUCCGGAUUUACUGGGCGUAAAGAGCGCGCAGGCGGUCGUGCAAGUCGCGUGUGAAAGCCCCCGGCUCAACUGGGGAGGGUCACGCGAUACUGCUCGACUUGAAGGCAGGAGAGGGAAGUGGAAUUCCCGGUGUAGUGGUGAAAUGCGUAGAUAUCGGGAGGAACACCAGUGGCGAAGGCGACUUCCUGGCCUGUUCUUGACGCUGAGGCGCGAAAGCUAGGGUAGCAAACGGG
This 253-nucleotide ribosomal RNA is filed under the name uncultured bacterium. RNAcentral's name for it is "partial 16S ribosomal RNA". It matches the Rfam family "Bacterial small subunit ribosomal RNA", at positions 524 to 776 of the family's 1533-position model. The record is from RNAcentral.